GCGCCGGUGGUGUAAGGCGAACAUCGCUGCCCGGAAAGCAGAAGAUGCGGGUUCGAGUCCCGCCUGACGCA
Non-coding RNA from Heligmosomoides polygyrus, 71 nucleotides. The record is from Rfam. Lineage: Eukaryota; Metazoa; Nematoda; Chromadorea; Rhabditida; Heligmosomidae.